Molecule: ribosomal RNA, 254 nt
Filed under: uncultured bacterium
Lineage: Bacteria
Description: partial 16S ribosomal RNA
Rfam family: Bacterial small subunit ribosomal RNA
Source: RNAcentral
UACGUAGGGGCCUAGCGUUGUCCGGAUUUAUUGGGCGUAAAGAGCUCGUAGGCGGUUUGGUAAGUCGGGUGUGAAAUCUCCACGCUCAACGUGGAGGGGCCACCCGAUACUGCCAUGACUGGAGUCCGGUAGGGGAGUGUGGAAUUCCCGGUGUAGCGGUGAAAUGCGCAGAUAUCGGGAGGAACACCAGUGGCGAAGGCGGCGACCUGGGCAGAUACUGACGCUGAGGUGCGGAAGCGUGGGGAGCAAACGGG